AUACGGAGGGUGCAAGCGUUACUCGGAAUCACUGGGCGUAAAGCGCGCGCAGGCGGCCCGAUAAGUUGGAUGUGAAAGCCUACGGCUCAACCGUAGAACUGCAUCCAAAACUGCCGGGCUAGAGUCUGGGAGGGGAAGAUGGAAUUAGUUGUGUAGGGGUAAAAUCCGUAGAGAUAACUAGGAAUACCAAAAGCGAAGGCGAUCUUCUUGAACAGUACUGACGCUGAGGCGCGAAAGCGUGGGAGCAAACAGGAUUAGAAACCCUAGUAGUCC
RNAcentral lists this ribosomal RNA (273 nucleotides) under uncultured bacterium. RNAcentral describes it as "partial 16S ribosomal RNA". It matches the Rfam family "Bacterial small subunit ribosomal RNA", at positions 523 to 796 of the family's 1533-position model. The record is from RNAcentral.